UUCCCGCUUCACCUCCCUGAGCGGGAGCCUGCAAGGGCAUUCGCCCCGGUUGAUAACAGCCGGGGUUUUUUCU
Molecule: non-coding RNA, 73 nt
Filed under: Vogesella sp. LIG4
Lineage: Bacteria; Pseudomonadati; Pseudomonadota; Betaproteobacteria; Neisseriales; Chromobacteriaceae
Description: Burkholderia RNA 7 (anti-hemB)
Rfam family: Burkholderia RNA 7 (anti-hemB)
About the family: This RNA motif was identified by computational search in b-proteobacteria Burkholderia. Co-purified with Hfq, expression confirmed by Northern blot.
Source: Rfam by way of RNAcentral